This 722-nucleotide ribosomal RNA is filed under the name soil bacterium Dicl-S1T-M1LLLSSL-3. Its description in RNAcentral is "bacterial SSU rRNA". It matches the Rfam family "Bacterial small subunit ribosomal RNA", at positions 86 to 803 of the family's 1533-position model. The record is from RNAcentral.
CUCUUGAGAGCGGCGGACGGGUGAGUAAUGCCUAGGAAUCUGCCUGGUAGUGGGGGAUAACGUUCGGAAACGGACGCUAAUACCGCAUACGUCCUACGGGAGAAAGCAGGGGACCUUCGGGCCUUGCGCUAUCAGAUGAGCCUAGGUCGGAUUAGCUAGUUGGUGAGGUAAUGGCUCACCAAGGCGACGAUCCGUAACUGGUCUGAGAGGAUGAUCAGUCACACUGGAACUGAGACACGGUCCAGACUCCUACGGGAGGCAGCAGUGGGGAAUAUUGGACAAUGGGCGAAAGCCUGAUCCAGCCAUGCCGCGUGUGUGAAGAAGGUCUUCGGAUUGUAAAGCACUUUAAGUUGGGAGGAAGGGUUGUAGAUUAAUACUCUGCAAUUUUGACGUUACCGACAGAAUAAGCACCGGCUAACUCUGUGCCAGCAGCCGCGGUAAUACAGAGGGUGCAAGCGUUAAUCGGAAUUACUGGGCGUAAAGCGCGCGUAGGUGGUUCGUUAAGUUGGAUGUGAAAGCCCCGGGCUCAACCUGGGAACUGCAUUCAAAACUGACGAGCUAGAGUAUGGUAGAGGGUGGGUGGAAUUUCCUGUGUAGCGGUGAAAUGCGUAGAUAUAGGAAGGAACACCAGUGGCGAAGGCGACCACCUGGACUGAUACUGACACUGAGGUGCGAAAGCGUGGGGAGCAAACAGGAUUAGAUACCCUGGUAGUCCACGCCGU